UUGCUGAACAUUAUUGCUGUUUACUGUUUAUCUCUAUCUAUAAUAAUAUUCAAGAUAAUAACCAAAAACAGCAAAAUUUCCUUAAAAUUACUAAUUCAGGGGCAGCAACCCAACAACGGGUUAUCCGAUUCAUCUGAAAAUUUCAGGGCAGAUAGAUCUUCACCUGUUUAACAAUUCUACCCCUGUCAAAUGCUUUGGUUUUUGAGUUAUAAGCCAAAAACUGCAUUUUACCCCUAUGUUCUAUUUUUAGCCAUGGCGGCCAUCUUGGAUGGUUGGCCGGGUCACCGGACACAUUUUUUAAACUAGAUACCCCAAUGAUGAUUGUGGCCAAGUUUGGUUUAAUUUGGCCCAGUAGUUUCAGAGGAGAAGAUUUUUUUUAAAGUUAACGACGACGACGGACGACGACGGACGCCGGACGCCAAGUGAUGAGAAAAGCUCACUUGGCCUUUUAGGCCAGGUGAGCUAAAAAACAGCAAAAUUUCCUCAAAAUUACCAAUUCAGGGCAGCAACCUAACAACCGAUUAUCCGAUUCAUCUGAAAAUUCCAGGGCAGAUAGAUCAUGACCUGAUCAACAAUUUUACUUCCUGUCAUAUUUGCUCUUAAUGCUUUGGUUUUUGAGUUAUAAGCCAAAAACUGCAUUUUACCCCUAUGUUCUAUUUUUAGCCAUGGCGGCCAUCUUGGUUGGUUGGGCGGGGCACCGGACACAUUUUUUAAACUAGAUACCCCAAUGAUGAUUAAGGCCAAGUUUGGUUAAAUUUGGCUCAGUAGUUUCAGAGGAGAAGAUUUUUCUAAAAGAUUACUAAGAUUUACGAAAAAAUGGUUAAAAAUUGACUAUAAAGGGCAAUAACUCCUAAAGUGGUCAACUGACCAUUUUGGUCAUGUUGACUUAUUUGUAGAUCUUACUUUGCUGAACAUUAUUGCUGUUUACAGUUUAUCUCUAUCUAUAAUAAUAUUCAAGAUAAUAACCAAAAACAGCAAAAUUUCCUUAAAAUUACCAUUUCAGGGGCAGCAACCCAACAACGAAAUGUCGGAUUCAUCUGAAAAUUUCAGGGCAGAUAGAUCUUGACCUGAUGAACAAUAUUACCCCUGUCAGAUUUGCUUUAAAUGCUUUGGUUUUUGAGUUAUAAGCCAAAAACUGCAUUUUACCCCUAUGUUCUAUUUUUAGCCAUGGCGGCCAUCUUGGUUGGUUGGGCGGGGCACCGGACACAUUUUUUUAAACUAGAUACCCCAAUAAUGAUUGUGGCCAAGUUUGGUUAAAUUUGGCCCAGUAGUUUCAGAGGAGAAGAUUUUUGUAAAAGUUAACGCAGGACGACGACGGACGACGGACGACGACGACGGACGCCGGACGCCAAGUGAUGAGAAAAGCUCACUUGGCCUUUCGGCCAGGUGAGCUAAAAA
Molecule: long non-coding RNA, 1398 nt
Filed under: Mytilus galloprovincialis (Mediterranean mussel)
Lineage: Eukaryota; Metazoa; Mollusca; Bivalvia; Mytilida; Mytilidae
Source: RNAcentral